RNAcentral lists this ribosomal RNA (397 nucleotides) under uncultured bacterium. RNAcentral's name for it is "partial 16S ribosomal RNA". It matches the Rfam family "Bacterial small subunit ribosomal RNA", at positions 338 to 732 of the family's 1533-position model. The record is from RNAcentral.
CCUACGGGAGGCAGCAGUGAGGAAUAUUGGUCAAUGGACGAGAGUCUGAACCAGCCAAGUCGCGUGAAGGAUGACUGUCCUAUGGGUUGUAAACCUCUUUUAUCUGGGAAUAAAAUGUUCCACGUGUGGGAUUUUGUAUGUACCAUAUGAAUAAGCAUCGGCUAACUCCGUGCCAGCAGCCGCGGUAAUACGGAGGAUCCGAGCGUUAUCCGGAUUUAUUGGGUUUAAAGGGAGCGCAGGGGGGUUGUUAAGUCAGUGGUGAAAGUUUGCGGCUCAACCGUAAAAUUGCCGUUGAAACUGGCAGUCUUGAGUACGGUAGAGGUAGGCGGAAUGCGUGGUGUAGCGGUGAAAUGCUUAGAUAUCACGAAGAACUCCGAUUGCGAAGGCAGUUCACCGG